This is a long non-coding RNA of Nomascus leucogenys (northern white-cheeked gibbon), 892 nucleotides long. RefSeq lists it as uncharacterized. Lineage: Eukaryota; Metazoa; Chordata; Mammalia; Primates; Hylobatidae. The record is from RefSeq and is a predicted model, not a curated record.
UCCCUGUGGUCCAAUGCGAGCUGAGAACAGCUGCGCGCCCGCCUAGCGCUGCGAACCCGGAGUGAGAGGCGCUUCAGAGACUGGAGGGACGGACCUGCAGGAGCCAGGGCUGCCCGCCGAGCUGCAGUUGCCGCUACUGCCGCUGUCAGCGCCCGACUGAAGAGUGACAGCCGCAAAAGCAGGAGUGAGCACCGAACCCCGCGCUUCUACCUAACAGGUGCAUGCGCCGAUUUGGUGAGUGGACCCAGCUCGCAAGAUCUCAGGUAACCAUUCAUGACCCUGAGGCUGUGAGAAAUGCUCGCUGUGCAAAGGGGAACUCUCACCAGAUUUUCUGAAGCUGUUCUAGAAAUACACUUUUCGGAUUGAUUCAGCAUUACCAGCUUAUCCAACAAAAGUAUUAACAUACACAUUAACAACGUCGAAAGUAGCCUACUUUAAGAGAAAAUAUGCAGAAGAAGAAGAUUUACAUCAAGAUUACCAUGGGUAUUUUCCAAAACACCUGAUAUUACCUGAGGACAGAACUUGCAUUCUGAAACUUUCUCUGGAGAAGCUCAGGUUUCUUGAAGACCCAGAAACCUACUUAAGAAGGUCUGUGUUAAUUAACAAUUUGCUGAGGAAGAUACAUCUAGAGACGGAGAAAGAGAGCUAUGAAUACUUUAAAGAAGCUCCCUGUUAUAAGACUGCAUAUUCUGAUACAAGAAAACGGCUGAAGUUUAUGGUACAGGAAUGCUGUUCUCAGUCUCUCUAUUAUGAAGAGCUGCAUUCGUAUCAUAUUGUGCCUUAUGCUUCGGAUAAUGCCAUUUAUGAAAUGGGCUACACUAGCAGCCACUUGGAGCAAAAUUCUCAGUUGCUUAUUUAUAAAAUGAAUUAAAGUAACUGUUAAGUCCAUUGA